UACAUGUAUUCUUACCAAUGUGUGAUAUUUUUUGCUAAUUUUUUUCCCAACUUGAUGGCUUAGGCCAGAGUCUUUCAAGAAAAAAAGUCUUAUUAGAGAAGUCUUCAUAUCUCGUGAGGAUGAAUUAAAAGCAGAAUCUCAACUUUGCUACCUUUAAAUGUCACGGAGAGAAAAAACUGCAAAACCAUGUGCAACAAUAUCCAUGAUAAAUCAUCUUUGAUCUCAACAUAACGGAGACUAUAAGGAGUAUAAAGACUAGAAGAAAGAGUAGAAGGUGAUCCACAAUCAAUUCAGAACCUGGUCUUCUAUGGUGGCUCACAGUUCCUGCACCCUACAAUAUCGUGAAUUUUCUUCCUCUUCAUCUAAUGACAUGAAUAUGCUCCAGUGGAUCCUAGGAUAUCUUUCACAUGAGGUUACCCUUGCCCUUUGGAUGUCAGGUGGAACAAAGGGAUGGAAGAUUUUUUGUACUGGGACAUUCAGUAAACCCCUAGGCCUACCUAUUGUCUAGUCAGAGUUAGAGAAGCAAAUGAUGUCUGUGAGGGCCUACAAGGCACAAGAGGAUGAAAGUUUAACUUAAAGUUUAGAUGCUGAUAUUCUAGCUAGUAAUAAUGUAUGAUUGCCUCAUGUACUACUCUUUUUUUAUAUUUCUCUCCUAAUGUAUAAAGAUGGAUUUCAAAAGAUAGGCAGCCUGGGAUUCAAAUUCUGAUCAUCUUUUCACUUUGUAAACUAAUGGAUAUAUUUUUUUAAAACAUUGUGUUUAAUACACGCCAAUGCCAAAGGCUUUCUACAGACUCAUGUGGAGUGGGAUGAUGCCCAGAAUGUCGAUAAAUUGACAGAAUAAUAUGAAGAACCCAACAGUCAUGUGCCAUGAAUUCUGCAGGCACAUUUGGACAUGAGUGUGAGCCAGAAGAUCAUUCUAUUUGGGAAAAUUUAAAUUGGGUGCAAGAAGCAUUAGCUAACAGUCUGAACCGAGGUAUGAUCCAAACUGAUAAAACUUGAUGAAGUUGGAAGAAGCAAAAGGGAGUUGGUAUGGAUCCUCAGAAUACGACAGAAACACAAGGAGUUUCAAGGGCAUUUGACAACAUGAAGUGCCAGCUAUAUUAGGGCACAGCAGAAAAAAAAUGUUUUCUGGACAGACUUAAUUUCUGAAGUGCCUUCUCCUCUUAUACUACCAUGGAAAUUACAGUGUUCUUCUGCUGUCUCAGCACCUUCCACAUUUAAAAAAAAAUCAUGCCUUUCCUUAUCUGUCUACCUAAUUAGACAUCCAUGGAUGAGAAAUGUGUCUAUGUAUCUUCAGUUUCUAUAUGUCCACUACAAUCCUCAUGCCUGGAACAGAGAGGUGUUCAAUAAAUCCAUGAACAAAAAGAAACUGAAGUUCUAAGGUCCAAACAAUGUUGAUUCUUUAUGAGCCAGUAGGGAUUUGCCUCUUUCUAAUUCCUCCUGGAGCACAAGUGUUCCCGGAAUCUGGAGCAGGGUUAAAAGCAGAGAUGAAUAAUGAUCCCCAUUGUAAAGUCCCAGGGAUCCAGAUAAGAUAAUAUGCCCCACUCCAGGGAGAAUAUAUAUACUUUUUUAUUAAGAAGACACAAGAAAUGGAAUGCAGCCUAUGUUUGUAAGCGGACUUUAAUAUUAAGCCCUCAAUAAAUAUUUGAUAAAUGAAUGAAUGAUUCUGUCCAAAGAGGUUAAUCAUUAAAAUGCUCAGAGGAGACCUCAGCAGGCCCUUGAAGAACACAGCAAUUUAAGAAGUAAAAAGGAGGAUGUAGGGGAAUGUUAGUCAGGGUCAAGCCAAACAUUGAAUUCAGCAUGGCAAAUGAAAUUUACUGUAAGUGGUCUCUGUGCUGAGAUACAUAUUACUGUUUGUGCAAAUUUAGUUCCGUUAACUUUUCCCAAAACUUCUUCACCACCUUAUCUUGGAGCUUAAUUCUAACUCUCUCUACUAUGUCCAUACUAUGGGAAUGUCUUCAAGAUAAUAUUGUCUUGUUAAAAUUCGGCUUCAGACUUCAGGACUUUUACAUUCUUGGAUGGGGAUCUAAACAAGACAUGAACCAAUCAUAAGGAAAUAUGGCUCCUUCUCCAUUAUUUUAAACAAGAAAAUAUUAUUGUUAUUGUAGCUGUUUGAGAGACAAGGAGAUUAAACUUGCUACGGUUAAGAAAUUUGAAAGCAGAUUUUUUUAGAGGCAGACAAUAAGGAAGAGUGUUUUUGGACAUACUUUGCUCAAACCUUUCCUGUGUUUGAGUAUUCCACCCAAACAGAACUUUCUCCAUUGAGCCAUUUGCUGUCCUGUCAGCUAAAAAAUAAAAAAUAAAAAAAACAAUAAAACAAAACAAAACAAAGAGCAAAAACCAUUUUAUCUUCUUGAUACUGUGGCACUUGAUGUGCAACAGAGAGACUACAUUCUUGCAAUCGGUCAGAAGCAGAACUUGACCAAUAUGAAACAAUACAUAUCCUAAGAAAACAACAUGCACAGAUAAUUUGCAGAAAGUUUAGAACAACAACAAUAAAAUAUUUUAAUUUGCUCUGUAUUGCAAAGCUUGUUGCUUUUCAUAAUGCCUUGAUAUAACACGUGGGAUGAAGAAUCUAUUUUUUAAAAGA
This 2590-nucleotide long non-coding RNA is filed under the name Homo sapiens (human). RNAcentral's name for it is "non-protein coding lnc-PIK3C3-2:1". The record is from RNAcentral. Lineage: Eukaryota; Metazoa; Chordata; Mammalia; Primates; Hominidae.